RNAcentral lists this microRNA precursor (200 nucleotides) under Oryza brachyantha (malo sina). RNAcentral's name for it is "MIR812 microRNA precursor family". It matches the Rfam family "MIR812 microRNA precursor family". Lineage: Eukaryota; Viridiplantae; Streptophyta; Magnoliopsida; Poales; Poaceae. The record is from Rfam by way of RNAcentral.
AACAAAUUAACUUUUCAGUUUUUAUAUACAAUGUUUAACUUUUCGUCGUAUUCAAAAAUUUUUUAUGAUUAAUAAUUUUAUUCUUAUUAGAUAAUAAAACAUGAAUAUCGCUUUACGUGUGACUAAUUUUUUUAAAAAAAUUCUUUAAAAUUUUUUAAAUAAGACGGAUGAUCAAACGCUUGACAUAGAAACCAAAAGUU